Molecule: ribosomal RNA, 254 nt
Filed under: uncultured bacterium
Lineage: Bacteria
Description: partial 16S ribosomal RNA
Rfam family: Bacterial small subunit ribosomal RNA
Source: RNAcentral
UACAGAGGGUGCAAGCGUUGUUCGGAAUCACUGGGCGUAAAGCGCGCGCAGGUGGGUAUGCAAGUCUGCAAGUGAAAUCUAGCCGCUCAACGGCUGGGCUGCUUCGGAUACUACAUGCCUAGGGACCGGUAGAGGCUGGUAGAAUUGCAGGUGUAGCGGUGGAAUGCGUAGAGAUCUGCAAGAAUACCCGUGGCGAAGGCGGCCAGCUGGGCCGGGUCCGACACUGAGGCGCGAAAGCGUGGGGAGCAAACAGG